AACGUUAUUACAAGUUUAGAAGAUAUAGCGAUACAUGUUACUACAUGUCUCGAAUACGUGCAACUAACCAUGGUCACACUCAUAUUUCAUCAUCUAUGUUACCUUGCUAUGAUAUGAUCACAUACAAGAGAAGGUCGAUCACAAUGAGCAAAAGCGGGAUUACGUAGUAGUUCUUGAGUUGUCAGUUCUGAUUUAUCUCGCGCGCUAGCGUCCACCUCAAGUAAAUAGCUUCUGCCUCGAUUCUGCUAUCAAACCAUUUCUGG
Molecule: long non-coding RNA, 263 nt
Filed under: Hordeum vulgare
Lineage: Eukaryota; Viridiplantae; Streptophyta; Magnoliopsida; Poales; Poaceae
Description: long non-coding RNA (HVUL_LNC012300)
Source: RNAcentral